This 963-nucleotide long non-coding RNA is filed under the name Ursus maritimus (polar bear). Its description in RNAcentral is "lncRNA (ENSUMAG00000009110.1)". The record is from RNAcentral. Lineage: Eukaryota; Metazoa; Chordata; Mammalia; Carnivora; Ursidae.
UUGCUGGUCGGUGUUACAUUGACUUCUUCGUGUCCUACUCCGUGCUCAGAGGAUCCUGGGGAUGCUGUGAUUUUCAGGCAAAGCCAGCUCUCUUGCUGCCAAUGAUCAGAAAACAUCAGACAAACUGCCAGCACAUCUGGGCCUCUGCCCAAGCAUCUGGCUGCACACUUCCCUAACCGUGUACCUUCAGCCGCAUUUCAGAUUGGCCUUGGCUGUGAACCCUGCACCCCAUACUCCAGGUCAAGACUGGUGAGGAGAAAGGUCAAGGGGGGAGACUCCUGUGAAUGCAUUAAAGCCAGAAAGAAUGUGAUUUGUUAACCGGAAAACAUUCUGUUUACCUCUGUGUGUAGCCGUGUGUGCAUUUUGUCCACCCGAAGUGCUCUUUGCCCUUGUCUCUGCCGGUCCAAGCCCCUCGCCAAACCCCUGCAGAACUGCGUGAGAAUUCACAGCCUCCAGCCGACAGACGUCCACGUCUCUGCCCUAGCUCCUGCAUGUCUCCGCCACCCUACAGGAGGGAAUGUGGAUGCGUGGAGAGAAAGCGGGGAUCACAGGUGAUGUCGUGUGCUGGUCAAGGAAACAUGCAGAGCAUACGAUUUUCGGCCGUCACUUGGGACGACAGGAGACAGGUGGAGAGUGGGUCAGAGGGCAAAUUACAAGUUCCCUGCUGCUCAGCCAAUUUUCGAGAGAACAUCCUCAAAAAAAGCAAAAGACAUUCUGUCUUUAUGGUCAUGAAACAAGGAGGGAAACCUCUGUUUUUAUCCAUAAACUUCUCCUUUGGACUAAAAAAAUGUGCUAAACUUGCUCUGUCCUCAAAUGGAAAGUAACACAAACAAAAUCGAGACAAUUAAGGAGGGCACGUAUUGCAUGGAGCACUGGGUGUUAUACGCAAACAAUGAAUCAUGGAACUUUACAUCAAAAACUAGGGAUGUACUGUAUGGUGACUAACAUAACGUAAUAAAAAAU